AUUGAACGCUGGCGGCAUGCUUUACACAUGCAAGUCGAACGGUAACAGGGUGCUUGCACCGCUGACGAGUGGCGAACGGGUGAGUAAUGCGUCGGAACGUGCCGAGGAGUGGGGGAUAACGCAGCGAAAGUUGUGCUAAUACCGCAUACGUACUGAGGUAGAAAGUGGGGGACCUUCGGGCCUCACGCUAUUCGAGCGGCCGACGUCUGAUUAGCUAGUAGGUGAGGUAAAGGCUCACCUAGGCGACGAUCAGUAGCGGGUCUGAGAGGAUGAUCCGCCACACUGGGACUGAGACACGGCCCAGAAUCCUACGGGAGGCAGCAGUGGGGAAUUUUGGACAAUGGGCGAAAGCCUGAUCCAGCCAUGCCGCGUGUCUGAAGAAGGCCUUCGGGUUGUAAAGGACUUUUGUCAGGGAGGAAAUCCCUAGUGCUAAUAACACUGGGGGAUGACAGUACCUGAAGAAUAAGCACCGGCUAACUACGUGCCAGCCGCCGCAGUAA
This 500-nucleotide ribosomal RNA is filed under the name uncultured bacterium. RNAcentral describes it as "partial 16S ribosomal RNA". It matches the Rfam family "Bacterial small subunit ribosomal RNA", at positions 30 to 523 of the family's 1533-position model. The record is from RNAcentral.